This 1671-nucleotide long non-coding RNA is filed under the name Phoenix dactylifera (date palm). RNAcentral's name for it is "long non-coding RNA (PDAC_LNC010499)". Lineage: Eukaryota; Viridiplantae; Streptophyta; Magnoliopsida; Arecales; Arecaceae. The record is from RNAcentral.
AUGUCCAAAGAGCAGAUUCCUUCUUCCGGAUUUCUCCGUGUCAACAUGCCAACGUCCCAUGCUCAUCCCGAGUUUUUUUCCCUCACAUCCCGCUCGGACCAACUUCAUGGAUUAGUCUCUGCUUCAGAACCAAACCGAAUGAACUUCAACCACCCACGGAUAACUCCCAAAGCUUUCCUCCACGUCCUUCCCAGCUCCCGUGUUCCAAAGUCCACAGCCGGAACAGAGCCGAGACCCACGGACCAGCAUUUCGCAUCUCCCCUUGCAUCCCGACUCGGCCACACCCUCAACGUCUUCUGCUAGAUCCCAGUCAAAAUAAGCCUUCCAGAUUUCCUAUCAUCCUUAUCCAAAGCCGAGACCCAUUCCCUGUUUCUGGAUCAGCUCCCAGUUCCGUUCCCAGCACCUCAUCCACGGACGUAAUCCAUCCUUCCGCAUCCAAAGAACCAUCCCAGCCUUCCUCCUCUGCUCCGCGUGUCUUCCCUCCCGUCCGCGAUUCAAGGAUCAUCUCCCAGCCAAACUUCAUCCAGAUCACUUCACAACCACGGAUCUAGCGUCAUCUUCUCCCGCGACCAUGGUUCACUCCGUCCGCAAAGCUCUCCCUAACUCCCACAUCUCCGUAUUCAUCCUCAUCCUCCCGAAUCAUUCGCGGCCGUGUUCAUCUUCCAGCCUUGCAUCUGCUCCCAAGCCAACCGGAUCCCCAACUUCUUCCCAGCACCCCAAUGUCUUCCGGAUCAUCUUCCAAUUCUUCCGUGUCCUUCUCAGCUCCUCUGUUCUACGUCAUUCAAAGAACAGAGCCUAUUCUCCCCUUGUCCGAACCAAACCAGCAACAAAACAGAACCACGGUUGAUUCCAAAGAUCUUCCUCCACGUUUCCUCCCAACUCUUCCGGAUUUCUUCCCAGCUUGCAGCUUUAUUCUCUGUUUCGGAACAAAGACUUUAUCUUCUCCGCUUCAUUCCUUCCACAAUCAAAGCAACCCACUCUCAUCCCUGCUUCGGAUCCCAUCUUCUCUGUGAUCCCAUGCUUUCGUGAUUCCUCCCCUUCAUCCACGUCAAAAGGAAUCCCAAGUAAAUCAGCUUCCCAUAUCUUCCGAAGCUCCUGCAUCCCAAACCGAUCACUCCUUCAUCUAACUGGAUCACUUCAAAUCUACCUCCCGAGAUGAUUGUAUCCCAAACAGCUUCAUCCCAUGGAUUAACAGCUUUGAACUUCAUCAUCCUCCCGAAUCAUUUGCGAUUGAGCUUCAUCUCCCAUCCGAAUCUAAACUCCCGUGAUUCAACCCAGCGACAGCAUUCAACCAUCUCAGCUUACAUCCCCUCCAACUCAUUUUAUCUUCAUCCGAAUCAAGCAAACCAGCCGAGAUCCUCUCAGCCUCACACAAUCCUUUCCUCCCCUGUUUUAGCUUCAAAACGAAGCCAAUCUCCCAUGUCAAAGCUUCCGAUCCAUCUUCCCAGAUUUCAUGGAAACAAAACAGAGCAAGGGAGCUUGAUCUCUAGCAUCCAUGGAUUCUGAACUCCCCGUUAGGAUAAGAUCACAUCCUCCACAGCUCUGCGAUCUAGUUUAUCUUUCCAGAUUCACGGAACAAAUCCCAGUGAAUCUUCAACGCCUCUAAACAAAUCCAGCAGGACUCCAACGCCACGGGUUAGCUUCCCAGCAUCCCAACCAUCCGCCGUGUUC